RNAcentral lists this ribosomal RNA (250 nucleotides) under uncultured bacterium. Its description in RNAcentral is "partial 16S ribosomal RNA". It matches the Rfam family "Bacterial small subunit ribosomal RNA", at positions 524 to 773 of the family's 1533-position model. The record is from RNAcentral.
GACGUAGGUGGCGAGCGUUGUCCGGAAUUAUUGGGCGUAAAGGGCGUGUAGGCGGCCUGUUAAGUCAGAUGUGAAAUCCCAGGGCUUAACCCUGGGUCUGCAUUUGAAACUGGCGGGCUUGAGGACAGGAGAGGGAAGUGGAACUCCCAGUGUAGCGGUGAAAUGCGUAGAUAUUGGGAAGAACACCAGUGGCGAAGGCGACUUCCUGGACUGUCCCUGACGCUGAGGCGCGAAAGCCAGGGGAGCGAAC